UGGUGUAGUGGUUAACACAUUCACUUAGCAAGUGAAAAGUUGCUGGUUCUACUCCAGC
RNAcentral lists this transfer RNA (58 nucleotides) under Oreochromis niloticus (Nile tilapia). It matches the Rfam family "tRNA", at positions 8 to 63 of the family's 71-position model. Rfam says of the family: Transfer RNA (tRNA) molecules are approximately 80 nucleotides in length. Lineage: Eukaryota; Metazoa; Chordata; Actinopteri; Cichliformes; Cichlidae. The record is from Rfam by way of RNAcentral. RNAcentral also lists the same sequence under 1 other name.